CCUACGGGAGGCAGCAGUGAGGAAUAUUGGUCAAUGGGCGCGAGCCUGAACCAGCCAAGUAGCGUGAAGGAUGACUGCCCUACGGGUUGUAAACUUCUUUUAUAAAGGAAUAAAGUGAGGCAUGUGUGCCUUUUUGUAUGUACUUUAUGAAUAAGGAUCGGCUAACUCCGUGCCAGAAGCCGCGGUAAUACGGAGGAUCCGAGCGUUAUGCGGAUUUAUUGGGUUUAAAGGGAGCGUAGAUGGGUUGUUAAGUCAGGUGUGAAAGUUUUCGGCUCAACCGUAAAAUUGCAUUUGAUACUGGCAGUCGUGAGUACAGUUGAGGUAGGGGGAAUUCGUGGUGUAGCGGUGAAAUGCGUAGAUAUGACGAAGAACUCCGAUUGCGAAGGCAGCUUACUAAACUGCCACUGACAUUGAUGCGCGAAAGUGUGGGGAUCAAACAGGAUGAGAUACCCCAGUAGUC
Molecule: ribosomal RNA, 460 nt
Filed under: uncultured bacterium
Lineage: Bacteria
Description: partial 16S ribosomal RNA
Rfam family: Bacterial small subunit ribosomal RNA
Source: RNAcentral